AGCAGGUCAAAGAUGGUGCGCGCCGUGGACUGUAAAUCCGUCGCGAAAGCUUCGAAGGUUCGAAUCCUUCACCCGCCACCA
This 81-nucleotide transfer RNA is filed under the name Paractinoplanes abujensis. RNAcentral's name for it is "tRNA-Tyr". Lineage: Bacteria; Bacillati; Actinomycetota; Actinomycetes; Micromonosporales; Micromonosporaceae. The record is from RNAcentral.